This 949-nucleotide long non-coding RNA is filed under the name Sus scrofa (pig). RNAcentral describes it as "lncRNA (ENSSSCG00060076274.1)". The record is from RNAcentral. Lineage: Eukaryota; Metazoa; Chordata; Mammalia; Artiodactyla; Suidae.
AUGAAACAAAGACCCAUGCCAAAGCCUGUCAUGACAUUUCAGAUCGCUAGGAACCAAGAAGAUACUCUAAAAAUCCCCAGCAGUAAAGUCAAUGGUUGUCAAGAGAAGCACAAAAAGCAUCCCAUUAGAACGGCUUCAGUCUUUUCUCUCUCUGAUUUCCUCUCCAGGUUCUCCCAACAGGACGAUAAACUCAUCUGGAAGGCAGAGGGCCUGCCCAUUCAUAAACCUGUUGAUGUGGUCCCCAGAGUGCAACUCACUCUCGCAGAUGGAGCAGUCAUUUUGAGAGCAUGAAGGUGAAGAUACGUGAAAAAGCCAGAAGGACUCUGGUCUCUCAAGUGCUAAAAAGGAGGAGUUGAGAAGAACUGGACCAAACAGCAGGUUGAGAGUACCCACAUCUGCCAAAGGGGCAGGGGGCUCAGAUGAAAUGAACAAAGUCAUGGCCCUCACGGGGUUCAGCUUCAUUGGAAAGACAGACCAGAAACCAACUCAUGACCAUGGGGAGAGCACCAUGAGGGUAUGGACAUGCUGCACGGACCCUAAAGGAGCAUGUUCUGAACUUGACUUGAGCUGAGCUGAGCCGGGGCGAAGGGGAGGCAGCCAAGGCAGACAUCUGAGAGGAGGUGCUGGCCCUGCAGCCACCUUUUAAAAGACGGUGUAAAACAUGGCUGUCUGUGCGGCGUGUGGAAGCAGGAAAGCGGGUGAGGUCGUGUCCGGGGCCGGAGCACAGUGUGCCUCAAGAGAGAGACCAGACAUCCCGUAAGAGGCAGAGAAGGCCCAUCGCUUUAAAAGCCUCAAGCGCAAUGCCAAGGAAUUCUAUCUUUAUUCUAAAACGAAUGGGCAGUCAUUAAAGGAUACUAAGCAGAAAAAUGCAUUGACUAGACAUGCAUGUUGGAAAAUGUACUUUGAUCAAAUUUGGUGUUGUUUAUGGUCAUUUCUAUAAAGUAUUUGG